Molecule: long non-coding RNA, 1976 nt
Filed under: Takifugu rubripes (torafugu)
Lineage: Eukaryota; Metazoa; Chordata; Actinopteri; Tetraodontiformes; Tetraodontidae
Description: lncRNA (ENSTRUG00000031448.1)
Source: RNAcentral
AUGACUGUUAGAGUGUGUGUGGUCAUGGCAGUGGCUUUUUGUUGUUUCUGCUUCAGGCUGCAGAAGAUGGGCUGUUCCUGUAGUACUUCUUCUGACGAGUGGAGUGACAGCGACAGCGACAGCAGUCUGCCAGAACUCCCACCCUUCGUUAGACGGAGCACGAAGACGGUGGAGCUGAGGCAGCACACCUCCGCAGUAACCCAGCAUGCAUGCUUGGAUGAGGAGGUUAAAGGAGACGGCAGUGGCACAUGUGAGGAACCCCUGGAAUCACAUCCCCGUGUGGCGCUGCCCAGACUGAGCACAGACGGAGAGGAAAACACUCUCGAUGGGUCAAAGCCGUCCAAACCGGUCCAGUCAACUCUUGUUGGGCCACCGUCCGUUGCCUUCAUGGUGACUGAGGCAUCAGGUGACCAGCAGAGGCCGAUGGUAGAUCCAGAACCGCAACACGACGAUAAGGACGGCGAGGAGGUCCGUGUUGUACUGACGGAUCCACAUCAGGCGUUCAAAACAAAGACCCACAGCUGCAUCCGUCCCAUCGAUGCUGAUGAUCUCGAGCAAGAGCAGAACCAGUGUCCAACAGAUGAGUCUGGUCCAUCCACAGUUCUGAAAACCAGUUUAUUACCACCACCUAUUGAACCAGAAACCAGUUUAUUACCACCACCUCCUGAACCAGACACUGGUUUAUUACCACCACCUCCUGAAUCAGAAACUGGUUUAUUACCACCUCCUCCUGAACCAGCAACUGGUUUAUUACCACCUCCUCCUGAACCAGCAACUGGUUUAUUACCACCACCUCUUGAACCAGACACUGGUUUAUUACCACCACCUCCUGAACCAGACACUGGUUUAUUACCACCACUUCCUGAACCAGACACUGGUUUAUUACCACCACCUCCUGAAACAGAAACCAGUUUAUUACCACCACCUCCUGAACCAGACACUGGUUUAUUACCACCACCUCUUGAACCAGACACUGGUUUAUUACCACCACUUCCUGAACCAGAAACUGGUUUAUUACCACCACCUCCUGAACUGUCUCUAUUGAGCGAGGUCAAUGUGCGUCUGACCACGGGAUCCUCGCCACAUAUCGGUCAACAAACUCACCGUGGAUUCACCAAAUCCCAGAUUGACUGGCAGGACAAUGUGGAGCUCCAACGUCCGUGGCUUCCUGUGAAUUCCCGCGUAAGGAAAAUCCCAAGCCGAGAUGAGGGCGAUGGUCCCUCAGUCUCAAUUUGCUUUUAUAACACACCCGAAGACCUGGGCCCCCCGAGACCUGAGCGUCACCAUGUUGGCACUCAAACUUUGCCCCCUGGUGCUGGUGGAGAUGCUUCCACUCCAUCUUCCAAGAUUCACUCCGUCUGUCCUGAGCGGCGGGUGAUAGCUGAAGGGGGCGACAGCGGGGACAAGCCCAAGGCAACGGUGUGGACCCAGGGCACACCCAAGGCUGAGUUCCCCCAGAGGGGGGGCGGUGUGGACACCCCAGGGCCAGUGUUGGAGCUCCAGCCCUCCAAGGCUCAGAAUUGUGGGCCAAUGUUGAAUCGGGGUCUGGAGCAGAGAUCAAAGACCAAGGCCGACCACCAACCAGCUCAUCCGCCAGGACAGCAAGUGGGCUCCAAACUGACCUACGCACAGGUCUUGAUGAUGCCCCCAUGUAAGCGUGCCCCACCCCCAGACCUUAGCCCCCCCUACCCAGAACAAGAGCCCCAACCAGCUGGGACUCGCCGUCCACUAAAGCUGAGAUAUGCAAGGCUGUGAACGGAGCGCUAUGGAUAUUUGGUUUUUAGUCUUUACAAAAGAAGCUGAACAAAAUCAACUCUUCAAUUGCUGCUUUAGGAGAUAUUUUUCUUUAGUUUGUUUAGGUCUUUUUUUUUUAAAAAAAAUCCAGGUUCUGUUCCCAUGUUUGAUUGUUCCAGUUUUUUUCUUUUAACACACCUGCAUAAUUGAUGCUCAUAAUUCUGAUUUCUUCUAUUAAAAAG